This 478-nucleotide ribosomal RNA is filed under the name uncultured bacterium. RNAcentral's name for it is "partial 16S ribosomal RNA". It matches the Rfam family "Bacterial small subunit ribosomal RNA", at positions 28 to 507 of the family's 1533-position model. The record is from RNAcentral.
GAUGAACGCUGGCGGCGUGCUUAACACAUGCAAGUCGAACGGGAAUUCUUUUAUUGUCACUUCUGUCGAUUUAAUUUACUUCUAGUGGCGGACGGGUGAGUAACGCGUGGGUAACCUGCCUUAUACAGGGGGAUAACAGUCAGACAUGGCUGCUAAUACCGCAUAAGCGCACAGAGCUGCAUGGCUCAGUGUGAAAAACUCCGGUGGUAUAAGAUGGACCCGCGUUGGAUUAGCUUGUUGGCAGGGUAACGGCCUACCAAGGCGACGAUCCAUAGCCGGCCUGAGAGGGGGAACGGUCACAUUGGGACUGAGGCACGGCCCAGACUCCUACGGGAGGCAGCAGUGGGGAAUAUUGCACAAUGGGGGAAACCCUGAUGCAGCGACGCCGCGUGAAGGAAGAAGUAUCUCGGUAUGUAAACUUCUAUCAGCAGGGAAGAUAGUGACGGUACCUGACUAAGAAGCCCCGGCUAACUACGUG